ACAGAUAGAAAAAAAAAUCAAGUUGGUAAAAAUGUAAUAUCCACAGUGGGUGGUUGCAUUUAUUAUUUUAAAAGAAGUUGAACCACACCAACUAAUACUAUUUUGCGAGCUGAGGCCGGCGAUUUUGUCUUCGAACAGAUCACAAAAAAUUCAAGUUACCUACAUCUAAAAGAGCUGCUGCCGGAGAACAUGAUCGGUUCGGUGCUUAAUCCUGCUAGCAAGAAGCCGCCACGAAGUACAUACGUCGCAAAGGAUAGUCGGAAGGGGCCGGUAUUGACGAUGCGUCUUCGCCGUUUUGAGUAUAAUUCCAUCUUAUUUGAUCCUGCUGCUGCUAAAGCAGGAAGGGAACAUGCAAUCAAUUAGAAAAAGUACCAAAUUAGUAUGCUCUGAUGCGAUUCAACAUAAACGAGGAGCCACAGCAGGUCAGCCAGAUUUUCCAGAGCAAGAAAAUUUAUUUUAAAAUAUUAAUAUAUGUAUUAAAUUAAUGGGAUUCAACCGUAUAACGAAAGUCGCAUUCCGGAUGGAUUAAAUUAAACGAAAACAAAUUAUUAAAAAAAAGUGAAAAAUCUA
This is a long non-coding RNA of Armigeres subalbatus, 570 nucleotides long. RefSeq lists it as uncharacterized. The transcript is spliced from 2 exons. NCBI's taxonomy places the organism in Eukaryota, Metazoa, Arthropoda, Insecta, Diptera, Culicidae. The record is from RefSeq and is a predicted model, not a curated record.